UGGGGAAUAUUGCACAAUGGGGGAAACCCUGAUGCAGCGACGCCGCGUGAGCGAAGAAGGUUUUCGAAUCGUAAAGCUCUGUCCUAUGAGAAGAUAAUGACGGUAUCAUAGGAGGAAGCCCCGGCUAAAUACGUGCCAGCAGCCGCGGUAAUACGUAUGGGGCGAGCGUUGUCCGGAAUUAUUGGGCGUAAAGCGCUCGUAGGCGGUCUGUUAGGUCGGCAAGUUAAAUCCGGGGGCUCAACCCCCGUCCGCUUCCGAUACCGGCAGACUUGAGUUUGGUAGGGGAAGGUGGAAUUCCUAGUGUAGCGGUGGAAUGCGCAGAUAUUAGGAAGAACACCGGUGGCGAAGGCGGCCUUCUGGGCCAUAACUGACGCUGAGGAGCGAAAGCUAGGGGAGCGAACAGG
This 404-nucleotide ribosomal RNA is filed under the name Verrucomicrobiota bacterium. RNAcentral describes it as "Verrucomicrobia bacterium partial 16S ribosomal RNA". It matches the Rfam family "Bacterial small subunit ribosomal RNA", at positions 355 to 776 of the family's 1533-position model. Lineage: Bacteria; Pseudomonadati; Verrucomicrobiota. The record is from RNAcentral.